This is a microRNA precursor of Oryza sativa Japonica Group (Japanese rice), 206 nucleotides long. It matches the Rfam family "MIR812 microRNA precursor family". The record is from Rfam. Lineage: Eukaryota; Viridiplantae; Streptophyta; Magnoliopsida; Poales; Poaceae.
AAUAAGUAAUGUUUUACACUGUUCACGUCCAACGUUUAACCGUUUGUCUUAUUUGAAAUUUUUUUAUGAUUAGUAUUUUUAUUAUUAUUAGAUGAUAAAACAUGAAUAGUACUUUAUGUGUGACUAUUUUUUUAAUUUUUUUAUAAAUUUUUCAAAUAAGACGAACGGUCAAAUGUUGGACACGGAUACCCACGGCUGUACUUAUU